UGCGCGUUCGCUAUGCGUGCCGACGUAGUGAAUAGAGACACAGAGAGAGAUGCUCCCUUACAAAACAAUCCUAAACACGGGUGUGAGUGUAUGACGUGACAGAUGGAACUAUAUCGCCUCGGUGGCCCCCCUGGUUUCCACCAGCUCCACCGUUGCCCGUUCCGUUUCUAAAAUGAGGGAUGGGCAAGUCCACAUGUUUCACUCACCCAAACAGCCCCGCCAAACCUACGAACGAACGUCAAAACGCUCGAAUCAUCCCGUAUCCACAAACACGAAUUCAACCGAAAACAAGCCUGUCCAAAAAACACCAACACAUCUGACUGAAUAGUCAUAAACUUCAUUGCUCGCUAGUACGUGUCAUUUCACACACAACAUGGUGGGGGGCCAGACAGCGCCUCUAACUAACCACCGCAACCGUAUCCCACAUCGCCCGCAGCUCUCACCAUAAACAACACAACGAUUUUGAGAACAGCGGGGAAAUAAACAGCCGCAUGGGGUAAUGCCAUGGGGCCAACCUAAAGCCUCAACUCUCCAGACGACCGAAACCCCUACCCAAGAUCUCCCACCGCCAUCACAACUACCAUCAUCAUCACCAUCGCGCCGUAAGGCCCCCAUAUCGUCUCAAUGCAAAGCCAAAACCGCCACAGCUACUGCCGUACUGCCCCCCCCUCCAUGGAUGCAUGGGCUGGAGCUUCCAUUGCACGGAGUUUUCGCUCCGCAGCUGAAUGCAGACAGUGUUGGAAAACGAAAAAACUAGACAAUUAUCAAUUUUCUACACAAGCACAUGCUGGAUGAUGGGUCUCAUUCUCUGAGAUUGUACAUCCUGCGAAUUGAUCUGAAUUGCUAAGCGCUCACAGGACUGACAACUGUCGGCAGGUCGGGGGACGGGGGCGGCUGCGAAGGAGUUGCGUGUGCUGUGUGUGAGCUGGUCCUGCAGGCUGUGAGACCUGUUCCUGGUCAAGUAAGUGAACUCGAGCACAAAUAAACACGCGAGCGCGUCCUUCACUGCUAGCAGGACCGCACUGAUUAUUUGGCACCCACAGUCCACAUCUCAAACGUUUUAACACAUUCUCACUCCGACUCCUUUUAUGCGCGAGAUGUGAAGACCCUCCCAAACCGACGAUGAAGGAAGAUUGAGAUGAAAUCGCUAAAUUUCACUUAGAAGUCGUACAGGUGCUACGAUAAACGGCAGGGGGACUGAAUGACUCGGCCGGCAGGUGGGGUCGGGGCGCCGGGGGGAUGCCGUGGCGUCCAAACACCCGUGCAACACAUUGUGAGGCACCGUAGGCAUCAUGUCAGCUGGCCGCUGGGUGUGCCAGCGGCGAGAAUUGGAGCGUGCGUCCUCCACUUGCCUGUGACCUGGCCUCUACCAGUCUUUGCAGCCCCGCUAGUUAGGUUGCGCGGAACCACUACCACAAGCAAAACAGCAUAUAGUGACACGAGCUCUGAUCUUUGGUAUUUCUUUCUGCGCAUAAAGACCAACCCGCCAUGGCUCCAGGACACGAUGCAGCUGUCCGGCGUGCAACCGUGCGCAAGGGAACGGCCAAAUCCGGGCAACCGGUGCAUUCAACCGACAAUUGAGCGAGUCAUCAAGAUCUAACGCUGGGUAUCCUGCGGGCAAGAAAAAUAAUAAACAAUAAUAAUAACGAUUAGAUGCUGUAAUAAUCUUUAUUGCUCUGCUGAACUUGUACUAGGGUGAUUUCUCACCUGAACGGACCGUGACGGUAACAAAGAUGCGACUUCUGUCCGAAGAAGUUGAUUCUCUGCCGAUACUGCAUACAAACAUUUCACUGCCCGCGCUAGCUGUGUUAAGAGCAGGGCAUUGUCCCGUCUGAGCGCUCCAACUUUGGUUUGCAGUUCAAAUAUUUGAUCCAUAACAGAAGGGGUGAACUGCAGAGAUUGCGUUGACGGAGUUGAGGGGAUGCAUAAAGGGAACAUGCAAGUCAGCCAUUAAACGAGCACUUGAGCCCGCCAAUUCACUGUCAACCAACCGCUUCAAUUACCUGGUGCACCAAGCCAUCGUCCACAUUCAUGCUGCAAAGAAGGCAUAAACAGGUAAUGAUCAGUACCCAAGUUCUCUGCGAGCGGUUGAAAUGAAGAACGACUCACCCGCCCCGUGGCUUCAGGUCAGCAGUAUGGUUUUGAAUAGACAUUGCUUUUAGUGCGAAUGUGUAGGACGUUGGUGCAUUCAAGAAUCGCGGCAGUCGCGAUGCCCAACGUCAAGUUAGGAGUGUACGCCAAGGAAAAGAAUGUAGUCAAGCAUGAUAAACAAUAACCUGUAAAGUAGGUGCAAUAUGGGAAACAUAUAGCAUUUUUGCUACAUGUGGGUCGUGGUAUAGGUCUACGGGAGUUGGGAAUCCGGCAUCCCGUGCAUACUGUGGGGUUGUUCCUCAGCACGUGUUAAGACGUUAAGAACACACAGCGCAAACAGCAAGCUGUUAAAUAUAAUGGCAUCUAUCUAAACUGACUCUUGUAGCAGAGCUUUGCGUACUGAACACAUCCCCUCAUGGUAUCGGGCCUGUCGCUUUCAAACGAAAGUACGCGAGAACUUGCUGCGCUCCAGCCACCUAUCGAUGCUCGAACUUAUCCGCGACAACAGAAAGGCAAAGCUAUUUGCCUGCCUUCUUCGGGAAGGCGGCUUGGCUACGAUGACAUGAUGGACAGAUCUGCUCCCCCCGAGCAGCUCCGCAACGUAAUACUACUUCCAGGC
RNAcentral lists this long non-coding RNA (2710 nucleotides) under Volvox carteri. RNAcentral's name for it is "long non-coding RNA (VCAR_LNC001141)". The record is from RNAcentral. Lineage: Eukaryota; Viridiplantae; Chlorophyta; Chlorophyceae; Chlamydomonadales; Volvocaceae.